GCUCGACCCGCCCGGCGGCGUGUUUUUGUUUUGAUCGCGCCCCCGCCGCCGCCCCGUGCAGCGGCCGCGGCCCGGAGGGCCGGCCGUUAUGGAGGUCCCGCCCCGGCUGUCGCAGGUGCCGCCGCCAUUGUUCCCCUCGCCUCCCUCCCCGCUGGCCCCCCGCAGCCUCUCCCAUUGGCGGUCCCGGGCGCCCCGGCUGCUCGCCCCGCUGCUGCCGUCGCUGAGUUCCGGCUCCUCCCGGCAGGGGGCGCGCCGAGCGCCGCGCCACGUCACCGCCCCCCAGCCCUCGCGAUUGGCGGGCGGGGCGUCUAUAAAGGGAGGGCGCAGGCGGCGCCCGGAUCUCUUCCGCCGCCAUUUUAAAUCGGGCUCCAUCCAACGCGCCGCCGCUGCGACUGCCUCUCCGCGCCGCCUGUCUCCGGCCGACAGCCCCGCCGCCAUGGAGGACGUGAACGAGUACAGCAACAUGGAGGAGUUCGCCGAGGGCUCCAAGAUCAACGCGAGCAAGAACCAGCAGGACGACGGUAAGAUGUUUAUUGGAGGGCUAAGCUGGGAUACGAGCAAGAAAGAUCUCACUGAGUACCUGUCUCGUUUUGGAGAGGUUGUAGACUGCACAAUUAAGACGGAUCCCGUCACGGGCAGAUCGCGGGGAUUCGGGUUUGUGCUCUUCAAAGACGCUGCCAGCGUGGACAAGGUCCUGGAGCUCAAAGAACACAAGCUGGAUGGCAAGUUGAUAGACCCCAAGAGGGCCAAGGCUCUAAAGGGGAAGGAGCCCCCCAAAAAAGUGUUCGUCGGCGGACUGAGCCCGGACACGUCCGAGGAGCAGAUCAAGGAGUAUUUCGGGGCGUUUGGAGAGAUUGAGAAUAUCGAACUUCCUAUGGACACAAAAACAAAUGAAAGAAGAGGAUUUUGUUUUAUCACAUAUACAGAUGAAGAACCAGUAAAGAAAUUAUUAGAAAACAGAUAUCAUCAGAUUGGUUCUGGGAAGUGUGAAAUCAAAGUUGCCCAGCCCAAAGAGGUAUACAGGCAGCAACAGCAACAACAGAAAGGAGGGAGGGGCGCUGCGGCUGGCGGUCGAGGUGGGACUAGGGGUCGUGGCCGAGGUCAGGGCCAAAACUGGAACCAAGGAUUUAAUAACUAUUAUGAUCAAGGAUAUGGAAAUUACAAUAGUGCCUAUGGUGGUGACCAAAACUAUAGUGGCUAUGGCGGAUAUGAUUAUACUGGGUAUAACUAUGGGAACUAUGGAUAUGGACAGGGAUAUGCAGACUACAGUGGUCAACAAAGCACGUAUGGCAAAGCAUCCCGAGGGGGUGGUAACCACCAAAACAAUUACCAGCCAUAUUAAAGGAGGACCCUGAGAAAACAGCGGGAACUUCAUUGCAGGCCGUGUGUCACCCUGACCACGUCUCUCUCUGGGGGUCGCACGUUGCGGGCAGAGCGCAAGGCACACACCAGAAAACGCUGUCCUGUGGUGCAGAUUGCUACCACAGCCUAUCCCGCAGGAUGACGACGUUGAAUGGAGAGUGGUCUUCUGUUGAUCUGAGAUGACUAUUUUGUAAAAGACUUUUAGUGUACAUGACACAACUGUGUCCAAUUGUAUAUAGCAGCCGAUUUAGUUUUCUUGUUUUUGCUUUGUCCUUUGCCAUCUGUGUUAUGACAAAUGUGGAUUUGUGUUUAUACAAAUUUUAUUUGUAUAAUUUCAUGUUAAAUGAUUCUCAAAAAUAAAUUACUUGUGAUUGUUUUUCUGUGUCAGGUACUAAAUAGCUCUGUAAAAUAUGUAAUUUUAAAUAAGCAAUAAUUGAGGCACAGUUUUAUUUUCGAGGAGUCAUGGACAGUGGGGAGAAGCAGUGGUCUUUUAUAAAUGAUGAGCAGCAAGCUUUGCCUUAGUGUCCUAAUUCCCUUGACAAAGGUCUAUGCUAAGGGUUCAUGUCCGUGUUUAAAAUAACCAUAGAUGCUACCAUGCAGUUGAACAGUGUUUGUCCCUCACGUUAAUUCUUGGGAUCUUUGUGAUGAGAAGUGUUAAUUCAGCAUGUUGUGAAUAGCUGAAGUUGUUUCUGUCAGGCCAUAGAUCCCUCGACUUUUAUUUUCAAAGUAGAGCACUUUUUUUAUAAAACACCAUAAAAUAAGGCAUAGUUAGUAACUGCUUUUAUGAGUUGACAAGAUGCUUUGAGCCUUAUUUGUAAAAAAAAAAACCAACAAAAAACCCACUCAUCUGUUAUGAUUACUUGACACUUGCAUUGAAUGUGAGUAAUUCAAUUUGCAAAUUUCUACAUCCAUUGAAACUGGAUCAAAGAUUGAUAUGGGCAAGCUUUUCACUGUAGAAUUGUAAGUAAAUGAAUUGUACUCUGAAAUAGUAGUUAUGUCACUGCCACUGCCAAACCGUAAAUAGCUGUUUCCAAUUGGAACACAUACUUGGAAAGCUUUAGUAGAGGUACAGCUUUUGUCUUGAAGUUUUUAGGAAAAGUCAUGGUAGUAAAUCCCAUUAACUCAUGUAUUGUUUUGUAUUUGAAAUAAAGGUUAUUUUUCCAUUUUUAAA
Phascolarctos cinereus (koala) is the source of this 2533-nucleotide RNA transcript. It is a transcript of the gene named heterogeneous nuclear ribonucleoprotein D like, with no coding region annotated. The record is from RefSeq and is a predicted model, not a curated record. NCBI's taxonomy places the organism in Eukaryota, Metazoa, Chordata, Mammalia, Diprotodontia, Phascolarctidae.